This is a non-coding RNA of Anolis sagrei ordinatus, 544 nucleotides long. NCBI's taxonomy places the organism in Eukaryota, Metazoa, Chordata, Lepidosauria, Squamata, Anolidae. The record is from RefSeq and is a predicted model, not a curated record.
AAUGUAAUAUUCGUUUGUGGGAUUAACAGAACUCAAAAACCACUGGGGGAAUUGACACCAAAUUUGGACACAAGACACUUAACAACCCAAUGUAUGUCCUUCACUCAUAAAAACACAGAAAAACAUAGCAGAAGGGACUUAAAAAGCCAGAACAAAACACCCAAAAAUUACAACGCAUGUGCAAAACCACAUAUAGAUACACAAACACACAUAUAUGCAUAUACACACACAAAACACAUACACAGAAAGGGGGAAGGAAGGAGGGAAAGAAAGAAAGGUAGAGAAAGAAGGAAGGAGAGAAAGAGGGAAAUAAAGAGGGAAGGAGAGAAAGAAGGAAAGAAAGGAAGAUAGAGAAGGAAGGAGAGAAAGAGGGAAAGGAGGGAAGGAAAGAAAGAAGGAUAGAGAAGAAAGGAGGGAGAGAAAGAGGGAAAGAAGGAGGGAAGGAAAGAAAGAAAGCAGGGUAGAGAAGGAAGGAAGGGGAGAGGAGGGAAAGAAGGAGAGAAGGAAAGAAAGGAAGAUAGAGAAGGAAGGAAAGAGAGGAGGA